CAAUGAAACAGGUGUGCAUUGCAGGUAAAGUUAGAUUUUAGGAGAAUCUGUUUAAUCUAGCUCAUGAUGUUUUACCCUGGUGAAUAUGAUUCAACCAUAUAUGAUUAAAAAUAUAUAUAUUAUGUGUUACUACUUUGCAAUGCAACAUUUGUCCUACCAUAACCCUAACCCAUGACCCGUCUUCAUACAGCGAAAUUAUUUGAACACAGGGUUUUUUUAAGAACUUGUCUGGGGGGUGGGCAUC
This is a non-coding RNA of Paramuricea clavata, 244 nucleotides long. The record is from the annotation of a GenBank genome assembly. Lineage: Eukaryota; Metazoa; Cnidaria; Anthozoa; Malacalcyonacea; Plexauridae.